RNAcentral lists this ribosomal RNA (301 nucleotides) under uncultured bacterium. Its description in RNAcentral is "partial 16S ribosomal RNA". It matches the Rfam family "Bacterial small subunit ribosomal RNA", at positions 509 to 809 of the family's 1533-position model. The record is from RNAcentral.
CAGCAGCCGCGGUAAUACGAAGGGUGCAAGCGUUAAUCGGAAUUACUGGGCGUAAAGCGUGCGUAGGCGGUGAGUUAAGUCUGCUGUGAAAUCCCCGGGCUCAACCUGGGAAUGGCAGUGGAUACUGGCAAGCUAGAGUGUGUCAGAGGAUGGUGGAAUUCCCGGUGUAGCGGUGAAAUGCGUAGAGAUCGGGAGGAACAUCAGUGGCGAAGGCGGCCAUCUGGGACAACACUGACGCUGAGGCACGAAAGCGUGGGGAGCAAACAGGAUUAGAUACCCCCGUAGUCCCUGUCUCUUAUAA